UCUUUUCUUUAUAAAUUAGUCAGUCUUAGGCAUUUCUUUAUAGUAAUGCGAGAAUGGACUAAUACAGUGUCCCUAACACAGACAUCUUCUGGGGUUUCAUCUGAAAUCUCUCCUGCAGGAGUCCAGGGAACACAGAAGCCAGGCAAUUUCCAUGCCAAGGAUUCUGCGACCAGAGCUUAUACUUCGUGGUCAACAUGUAUAAGCUUGGGGAGAGAGUGGAGUGAUGCAGUAGCAGAGCUGCACAUGAGACAGGCAGAAGGAUCAGCAAGUAUCAACUCGGGGACCUGCUAGCCAAACGUGGCACAGUCGAGCACUCUCUAUUUGUUCCUUCACUUUCCAGUUCUGUGGAGCUGUCUUGCCAAUAAAUAAAAGGAGGAAGAUUAAAGGAGAGAAGAUUUAAAGAGUGUGUGAAGAGCAAUUCAAAGUCUAGCACUGUUUCUGGAAAACAAUUUCAAGUUCAAGCCCAGUGAGGCCACUGCCAUGCACAGAAGACAGACAGCACCAUCAGACUGGUGAGAUUCCUUCUUUGACUUGGGGUCUGCCCUACUGAGCAACUACCCACUGUCCAUCUCUCUGCUGAACUCCAAGCUCAUCUGUCUGACUGUCUAAUUGGACGUCUCGUAGCUUCACAUAUCCAAAGCCGAACUUCUGAUCCCCUGCUCCACUUGCUCUGUCCUUUAGUUGUUAAGGCCCCAAACCGUGAGUUCAUCCUUGACUUCUCUCUUUCUCUUACACCCCUUAGGUAUUUCCUAAUCAAUCAGGAAAUACCUUUGUCCCUUCUCUUCAAAAUGGAUCUCAUUUUCAGUACACUAUAAUCAUUUCUCAUCACCUCUUGCUUGGGUUAUUAAAAUAGCUUUCCCAUUUGAUUUCCCUGCUUCCAAAAACUUGCUUUCUUAGUGUCUAUUUCCAAUACAGCAUCAGAGGGAUUAUUUAAACACCUAAGUCACAUCACAUCAUUCCUUUGCUCAAAACCCUCCAAUGGCUCCCCAACAAGGCCUUGUGUAAUGGGGCUCCCUGCACUUUUCUGGCCUCACCUUCCGUUGCUCUCUCCCCCUCAGUUAUUCUGCUCCAGCACACUGGCCUCCUCUUUAUUCACUAAACACCCAGACCUGCUCCAACCUCAGGGCCUUUGCCCUGGUGGUUCUCCCUGUCUGGAGUACCCUUCUCCCAAAUACCCACAUGGCCUGCUCCCUUAGUCCCUUACAAGUCUGUACUCAAUUGGCACCAUCCUAAUUAGAGACAGCUACUCUAACCAACCUAUUUAAAACUGCACUCUAUUUCCCUUAUCUUGCUUUGUGUCUCCACUGCAUGUAUCUCCUCUUAACUUGCUGUCAUCUUAUUCACCAUGUGUAUUGUCUUUUUUCUCCCUACUAAAAUAUAAUCACUGUAGGGGUAAGAAAUAUGUCUGUUCUCUUCACUGCUGAAUUGCCAACACAUAGAAUAGUGUCUGGCACGUGGCAGGCACUCAUUAGAUAUUUGUCAGCUGUCUGAACACUGAACAUUGUCUAACUGACCAGACUGUCCCCCUUGCAUUGGUUAUGAGAAAGCUUUCAGUGAAGCAUGCGGCUGAUCUUUAGCGAGGAUGCAGAUUUGCAGGGUAGGUAUCAGCUUUAUUCCUGGCUUUGUUUUUGCUUUUCUUUCCCAUGGAUUUCUAUUGUCCUUUCUAAGACAAGGGAGAGGCAUAUAUUAAUACAAAUAUAUGCACAGUGUCAGUUUUAUCAUUUACAUAUCAACAGUAUCACAACUUGUUAAAUUCUGGUUACGGGCUAAUAAGACAGAACAUUUCUUCAAGUGGAUAUUAGGUCCCAGGCAUAUGAAAAGUGCUUUUCAUGCAUGACUCUGUCAAAUCCUUAUGACAAUCCAAUGAUGUAGACAUUUUUGAUAUCUUCAUUUUUAGAGAUGAGAAAAGCAGGCUUAGAACGGAUUACAUAACUUGCUUACAGAGCCACAUUUGUAAAUGACUCCAGGUCAGUCUGAUAGCAAAUUGGGUCCAAGUUUUACACAUUUUGCUUCCCUGCUUUCACUGAUGUUUGUCUUUACAUCUCCCCUUCCUCUCCAGCAUAGUGUUAAAUGAUCGAUUUUUGGACUAUUCAAGCUUUUUAUAUCCAUUAACUCCAAUUAAUUGGAUGGACUUAUCUUCCUUGGUAAGUUGCACUAAAUAGGACAUAACAAAUACCUCCUCUUUGAAACAAUUAGUCAAGAGCUAAGAAAUAAAACAGAGCUUCUUUGACCCACUGAAUAUAUAUUCCCCCAAAAUAUUUAUUCACAUGGAGUUUACAUUUUUCUUCUCAGAAAACGACCAUUUUAUAACAACAGGGUGUAUUGCUCAAGUGGUCUGCAUGGAGCUGAGGUCUGCCACCAUGCUGUGUGUGGCACACACAGAGGGAGGAGGGCAGCCUGAUGGCUAGUGGGAUUCCCCACUGGUGGUCAGGCCCCAGCCAAGUUGCUGUCCCUGUCUGCAAAAUGAAAAGCUUGAACUGGAUGGCCUUAAGGGUGAUUUUCAGCUCGAAAAUCCCAAUAUCCUAACCCUCAAGCUUGGGUUAGAUCCAACUCCUCUGUGCUCUUCCUGUAACUAAGCAAUGAGCCCAGUCUAUGGUAAAUCCCCCACCCCUAAUCCUAGCCUGUGACAGAGGGAGACCAAGUGUCUCUGGGUCUCUGUCUGCCCCCAGCACCUUGAGCAGGGCCUGGCAUGUAGGAGUUGUUCAGUAGAUGUUUGUGAAAUGAAAAAAUGAAUGAAAACAAGCAUACAUGGUCUACUCCUCUAUUUCUUUCUCUUAGGUGACUUGGUUUAUCGUGUGAGCCAUUCUGGCAGAAGUUAGACUUCAUGUAACCCCAUAAUGAAUUCCUGUCUAGUAGAUCACUCUAAUAGGCAAAACAUAUCGCAGCUACCCUCUGCCGGCUUCAGAGACUGGGGUCACUAUCAAACUGGUCCCUGGCCCACCUGCUUAAAUGCUGUGGCUCCUAACCACUCUUUGUGACUUUGCUGCAGCUACAGAUAUCAAGAACUCCAGUGGGCCAUGGUACUUCUUGGUCCAUGGCCGAGGGAUUAUGCAAAAGCUACAUCCAUGCAGGAGAUUUCCUUCAUAUUUGGAUAGUUUCAAAGAUAAGAGCAUCUUAUAAUAAAGGGGAAAGAAACUUCAGAAUGUCACAGGCAAAGUCUUAGGAAGUGAAGAUAUAAAGCCAAAAUAGGAGUAAAAUGUUCGUACUUGCCAUGAAGUUAAUUAACAUUCUUACUUGGAAAAAGUCAAGGUCAAACAUAAUUCAUCAAACAUAAUUCAGAGUUACUUGGCUUUAACGGAAGUGAUUCCUCAAGUCUCCCUUCAGGUUUUAAGACUUAUUAUGGAAAGCAUAAUAAAGUGUCCUACGUUUAUACAUCUGCUGAACCAUGUUAUGAAAUCCAGUACACUGUAGGCCCUGGGAUGGGGCAAGGAGCCAUUGUCCCUCUUUGCAGGUGAGAAACUGCAUCUCUGAGGAGCCAGUCACUUAUCCAAAGUGCAUCCUGCUUGGUGUUUCUAGCUGUUACCGUCUUCUGGCUGAGGACCAAUGCAAAACCCCAGUGGUGCCUCUUGUCAAGGCUAGCUGGUGCUCAUGCAGGUAUGACUUAGGUUUUGCAAUGAUGAAGCCAAAGCGCCUUGGAAGCAUUUUCCCUGCCCCGCUAACUAACUUCAUGCCAACUAGUCUGAAGGGUUCUACUCCACAGUUUCCAACAGUGCUUCUUAAGAUUGGAAAACAAAUGUACGGUAGAUGUUACUGCUUAGCUAUUGUCCUUUUAGACCUGUGCACUUUUUAAACCUCAUUUCAGUCUCUCACAUUGCAAAGAAGCUAGGGCAGGGCAAACACAAUAUUAGCUGAGGGGUCAGUAGACUCGAGGCUCAGUCCCGGCUCUUCCACUUGUUGGCAUGGUCUUCACCCCUCCAGACUAGCCUUUGCAUAGGAGUAAGACCUGCCUAUCCUAGCCUUUGCAUGGGAGUAAGGCCUGCCCAUCUCACAGGGACGUAAAGAAAUGAAAUAGCAAGAAGGGUGCAUUACAAAUUGCCAAGCAUUAGAAGUGUCAAAUACUGGAGAGCAACAAACAAAAAGGGAAAGAAUCAGAAACAGAAAGAGAGCAGGUGUGUGUGGUGGGGGAGCACUGCCUUCAGAAUUAAAACUAUGUUACAAGUUGGCUUCAUGCAAAAGCUCAGAAGAAGCUGUGUCCAGUCUUCUGAGGACAAAAUGAGAAUAAAUAUCAAACACAUAUGCCUUUCCCUGUGUUUUUCCUCUUUAAAAUAUACGGGUAACAAAAUUGACCCAGCUCUUAGAACAGGAGAAAGGAAGAGAAACAGAGCAGUUCUAAGAAAAGAUGAAGCAAGCAAAAUACCCCUCAUGUGUGAGUUCAGAACACUUCAAAGAUUGGAAUACAUGACAUUUUGCAAUGGUUGCAAGUGGCAUUCCUUGCAAAGUCCUGUGAAGUGGGGCUUGCUGCCUCCCCACUGUAGGAAUGUAGGUUCACAGUCAUGAGGGCCAUAUAGCAUGCUCCGAUGCCAACCAGUGCCAACAGGGCAAAGAGGAGGUAGUUCACUCUCUUCCUCUCAAGCUCUCACUCCCACUCAUUUAGAUUCAUGCUACUUUCAUUUUCAUAGUGCUUUAAUGAAUGGGCCUCACUCUGGCUGGCUCACAAGGUCUUGCUAUUCAAAGGGCACCCACAUGAAAUAUAGUUUUACUGGUCAAAGAGAAAAAAAAUUGUUCCAAGUGUUGGAAAAGGUCCAAACUUUUAAUCUACAAAUCCCUGGAGGACUUGUCACUAACAGGGCCAGCUCCUGGUUUAGAUCCAUUCUUCCAGCAACUGGCCCACUCCACUCAGCCCAGCCCUUCCUCAAGGAGCUGCUGAGACUCCCCUAACUAAAUGGAGAUACUUGGAAUGUCUUCUGCUGGCCUUCCCUGAGGAGCUCACAACACAGCCCAGCUUCAUGACAGGCGGUCAUUCUAGAAAUAGUGGGUUAGAGUCUUUUGGGAGAUAGAAGUC
This 5002-nucleotide long non-coding RNA is filed under the name Homo sapiens (human). RNAcentral describes it as "HSALNT0340337". Lineage: Eukaryota; Metazoa; Chordata; Mammalia; Primates; Hominidae. The record is from RNAcentral.